Molecule: long non-coding RNA, 260 nt
Filed under: Elaeis guineensis (African oil palm)
Lineage: Eukaryota; Viridiplantae; Streptophyta; Magnoliopsida; Arecales; Arecaceae
Description: long non-coding RNA (EGUI_LNC018837)
Source: RNAcentral
AGACAAAGAAAAGAAGAUAAAGAUAGUAGAACUUGAGUAUAUAAAAUGAUGAAAAUGUUAACUUCAGAUUAAGUAAUUUAUAGUUGUUAUUGGUGGUAGAAAGAUAGCUUGGCAGCCAAGUCUGCUAGGCUGAGAGCAAAGGUUGUUACAACGGUCAAAAGAAAUAGAGAAGAAAGAAACAGGAAAGUUCCAGUCUAGUGCCUUGGUAAUUGUCACUUCUAUAGUAGAAAGCUAAAGGUUGUAAGAGUAAUGUUGAGGGG